This 79-nucleotide small nucleolar RNA is filed under the name Acanthisitta chloris (rifleman). Its description in RNAcentral is "Small nucleolar RNA SNORD59". It matches the Rfam family "Small nucleolar RNA SNORD59". Rfam says of the family: U59 belongs to the C/D class of snoRNA which contain the C (UGAUGA) and D (CUGA) box motifs. Most of the members of the box C/D family function in directing site-specific 2'-O-methylation of substrate RNAs. Lineage: Eukaryota; Metazoa; Chordata; Aves; Passeriformes; Acanthisittidae. The record is from Rfam by way of RNAcentral.
CCUUCGAUGAUGAUCCACUCUUCCCUUGACUUUCGUUCUCCUGAGCUUGCUGAAGCAAAGCUUGUUUGACCUGAGGAGG